Molecule: ribosomal RNA, 1132 nt
Filed under: Staphylococcus aureus
Lineage: Bacteria; Bacillati; Bacillota; Bacilli; Caryophanales; Staphylococcaceae
Description: partial 23S ribosomal RNA
Rfam family: Bacterial large subunit ribosomal RNA
Source: RNAcentral
CGUGAAAUUCCGUCGGAAUCUGGGAGGACCAUCUCCUAAGGCUAAAUACUCUCUAGUGACCGAUAGUGAACCAGUACCGUGAGGGAAAGGUGAAAAGCACCCCGGAAGGGGAGUGAAAUAGAACCUGAAACCGUGUGCUUACAAGUAGUCAGAGCCCGUUAAUGGGUGAUGGCGUGCCUUUUGUAGAAUGAACCGGCGAGUUACGAUUUGAUGCAAGGUUAAGCAGUAAAUGUGGAGCCGUAGCGAAAGCGAGUCUGAAUAGGGCGUUUAGUAUUUGGUCGUAGACCCGAAACCAGGUGAUCUACCCUUGGUCAGGUUGAAGUUCAGGUAACACUGAAUGGAGGACCGAACCGACUUACGUUGAAAAGUGAGCGGAUGAACUGAGGGUAGCGGAGAAAUUCCAAUCGAACCUGGAGAUAGCUGGUUCUCUCCGAAAUAGCUUUAGGGCUAGCCUCAAGUGAUGAUUAUUGGAGGUAGAGCACUGUUUGGACGAGGGGCCCCUCUCGGGUUACCGAAUUCAGACAAACUCCGAAUGCCAAUUAAUUUAACUUGGGAGUCAGAACAUGGGUGAUAAGGUCCGUGUUCGAAAGGGAAACAGCCCAGACCACCAGCUAAGGUCCCAAAAUAUAUGUUAAGUGGAAAAGGAUGUGGCGUUGCCCAGACAACUAGGAUGUUGGCUUAGAAGCAGCCAUCAUUUAAAGAGUGCGUAAUAGCUCACUAGUCGAGUGACACUGCGCCGAAAAUGUACCGGGGCUAAACAUAUUACCGAAGCUGUGGAUUGUCCUUUGGACAAUGGUAGGAGAGCGUUCUAAGGGCGUUGAAGCAUGAUCGUAAGGACAUGUGGAGCGCUUAGAAGUGAGAAUGCCGGUGUGAGUAGCGAAAGACGGGUGAGAAUCCCGUCCACCGAUUGACUAAGGUUUCCAGAGGAAGGCUCGUCCGCUCUGGGUUAGUCGGGUCCUAAGCUGAGGCCGACAGGCGUAGGCGAUGGAUAACAGGUUGAUAUUCCUGUACCACCUAUAAUCGUUUUAAUCGAUGGGGGGACGCAGUAGGAUAGGCGAAGCGUGCGAUUGGAUUGCACGUCUAAGCAGUAAGGCUGAGUAUUAGGCAAAUCCGGUACUCGUUAAGGCUGAGC